Molecule: non-coding RNA, 6474 nt
Organism: Rattus norvegicus (Norway rat)
Lineage: Eukaryota; Metazoa; Chordata; Mammalia; Rodentia; Muridae
Source: RefSeq, a predicted model, not a curated record
UGCAGGUCACAGUUCACAGGGAUGGCUUCUGCCUGAAUAGGUCCUCACUGGGGCGGGAUGGGGGUUCCCCAGGUACCUGACACGGGAACUUCAGGGACAACCGGGGUUAGAUACCACCUUCCACAGGCUGGGCUGUGGCCCCGGUGAACCAAUUCACAGAUUUGGGAUCCGCUCUGCUCACCCACAGGAGUGGUGUACACCAAUGGGGACAUACUUUGUCAGCAUCUGGGCGUAUCUAAGUUCUCUGAGUGUCUGGAGCGGAGAUAUUUAAACUUCUUAAACUAGAAGGGAGUGGCAGGGAUCUUUGGGGUGACGGAGAGCUCUGAAAUCCCCCAUUCCUUUGUUUUCUAGGCACGUCAUCCAUUAGAGAUGUUCUGAGUAUACUUUUCCAUCUUUCCAGCUAGCCCAAAAGAAAACAGAUGUAAGGAACGAAGCCAGCCGCCCUGGAUGGGUUCCUCCCUGGCCUCAGGAUGAGGGGUCCUCCAGGAUCCUACUUCCAACACCAAGGAUGCCAGCCCCCUCCAGAUCCAGUUACCUGAGGUCAUCGCAGCUUUGGCUAAGUCCCCAGAUGACUGUCCACAUCUAUGCUGGAAAGCAUUCUCCUCAGCACAUGACCCAGCUAUCAGCUGAGGGUCUGGGUUGGCUCUGCCCUGACUCCAUAGCGGCUUGAGUGCAGAAGGACCCAGCCAAGCUGCUUUGUGGUCUCACUUUGCCGAUGGCUAUUAGGAGAGUUACAGUAAUCACAUCUUCCAACAUGGUGGCCGUGGCCCGUGCUGCCUGCAAUGCUGUGAGUCACUGGCCCAGCUGGGCUGGCCGCCACUGCCAGUGACCCACAGAACUUGUUUGGAGAGAGGAACUGGAUUAACGUGUAAGACUGCCACUGAGCUGGUGAAGCUGGUAGUUCCCAGGCGGCCCACCCACCGCCCCCUCCCAGAAGACUUCAAGCAGGUCCACUUCACACUGUGCCUGACCGUAAGAGCAGCGAGGAUUAGGGACGGCACAAGAACCCCUCUCCACUCCUGUAGACAAGAGCCAGAGAAACAGGAGCCGUGGGCUCAACUUGUCCUGUCCAUUUAGUGCUGACCGCUGCUCAUGCCUCCCAGGAACACACGGGUAUCAUUUAGAUGAAUGUGAGGAUUGCACUCAUGACAGAAGUUCUCUAAGUCACCUGUAGGGUCUACAUGCAUCGGACCUGGGCUCUGUCUCCUGCUAGGGGUGCCUAUCUAAGGGGUGGGGUCAAGACACUAAGUGGAAAAGCAACAGUAAUAAUAUACUGGGCAGGUAGGGAGGCCAAAAGUUGCCUGGGACAAAGUGUCUUGAAGGCUGGUUGAGAGGGAGAGAGCAUCAAGUGGGGCCUGAGGCUACACACAUGCACAUGUGUGUGUGUACAUGUAUGAACAGGCAUGUGUGUUGAGUACGCACAUGUGUGUGUGCUGGAACCUAAACCCUGGAGCUCCAUGCACACUGGGCAGACACUCUGUCCAUCGACCCACACCCAGGCACCUUGGCCAGUGAGCAGCAUGCACAAGUGUCCCCAGCAGCCUGGUGUGCAAGAGAGCCCUGCCUGGCUUGUGUGAACUGUCACCAACUUCUGCUGCUAGCUGACAAGGAAAAUGGAAAGGCAAGUCACACUAGCUCCUUAAAGCCUUGCUUGUGUGGGUUGGCAGGCCCUGGAAGGGCUCAUGGACUAACACAGAAGUAGAGGAAGCCAUUCCUCCGGGGUGCUUUCCCUUUGAGCCUCCAAGGCAGUUACAAAAGUCGUGGUAGAAGGGAUGAGCCAGUUUCUAUGACCACUGAGGAGUGAGGUGUAGAGCUGUCAACCAAGAGUUAAGGCUGCCCCCUUCCUGCCCUGAUGGCUGGGGCGGGGGCUGAGGAAUGGUGGUAGAAACAGUUGUGAGGGGCAGAUGAAGGUAGCAGAGCUGUCUCAGUCACAUCUUGUGCUAACUAGUGUUUUAGCUCCAGUCCACAGGGGAAACUGAGUCUCAGCAAGUGUGGGAAUCACUUGGCUGUUUCUUUCCUGGAGGCCCUGACAAGUGACUCAGGUUAGGAGCACUUGCUAUUCUUGCAGAAGGCCCAGGCUCGAUUCCUAGAAUCCACACGGUGGCUCACAACUGUCUGUAGCUCUAGUUCUAGGGGAUCUGACACACUCUUCUGGCCUCCGUGGGCACCAGGCAUGCCUGCAAUACAAGGGCAUAUACUCAAGAACACACACACACACACACACACACACUCACACACACAUGCACACACAGACAUACACACACAGACACAUACAGACACACAGACACACUCACACACACAUACACAUGCACACACACAGACACAUGCAGACACACACAGACAGACACACAGACAUGCACACAGAUACACACAUUCACAUACAUGCUCACACACAUAUGCAUAUACAGACAUAUACACUCACACACACAUACAUAUGCACACACACAGACACAUGCACACACAGACACAUGCAGACACACAUACUCUCACACACAUGCAUGCACACACACAGACACACACUUACAUACACACUCACACACAUACGCAGACAUGCACAACUGACACACAUACUGACACACACAUAUACAUGCACACACACAGACACAACACUCACACAUAUGCACACAGACAUACACACACACUCACACACAUAUACACUUAUGAAUGCACACACUCAUUCACACAUACACUCAUACACACAUAUACACAUGCACACACAGACAUACACAGGCAUACACACACACGCACACACACAUAUGCAUGCACACACACAGACACACAGACACACACACACACACACACACACACACACACACACCUAUCCUCCUAUCCUCAUCCUCCUUUGAGGCCCUUGAAGAGCAGUUCUCACUCGGCACACAGCUCUGUUCAUCUGAGGGGCUCAGUCCAAAGCAGACAGGAGUGGGGCUUGAUGUCCCAGGGAUAGUAUUCAGAGUGGCACCUGCUGUGUCAAAAGAAUGGCUUCCAUGUAGGCUCUGGUGAUAGGCUGGAAUGCGUGUGUACCCAGCGGCCUUCUCCUUUUUCCAUAUUUAGUCUCCCCCGCCCCUCUCAUGGCAAAUUGUGUAAGUGGUUUUGAUUUAUGCCUCCUUCGCCUUUCCUACUAGGAAGCUCUGAGGUGAUUUAUGGACUCUCGGGAAUUGCAUGCAGCUUAAGUCAGGAACGCGUGUCUGAAUUCAUCCUCCUUAUAUCUGGUACCAGCAGAGGACAGGGUACAGGUGACCGGUAGCAGCCAGUGGAUUGUACAGGAAACGGGGUACGAAGUACGGCUUCCAUACAGGUUAGCUUCUCUUUUGUAAAACACGGUUCAGAGUUCAGGAAAGCACGGAGACUCAAACACGAUUUUAGCUCCACCCUCAUCACCCUCGGCCCUCAGGGCUCGAAAUGGCUGCCGGAGUUCUGACCGUGGUAUUUACAGUCCAGACACUUGGAGGAAGUACUCGCGUGUUUCUGUGAAGAGGUUUUCUGGAUGCCCCGCCUGACACUGUUCCUCCCGCUGUUAGGGGCCAACCCUAGCUGCAAAGGAGGCUGGGAAGCCAGAGCGUCCUAGGAUAACCAUGGAGACCCAGGUCCCUAAGGCGCCAGCUACCCAGCAACUCUCAAUCCAAGCUCUUGGGGUCUAUCACCCAAAGAUGGUAGAUGUGGGGGAGCCGGAAAUGGCUUUUGACACCAGUGCUCUCACCUCAUUGGCCGAUACUGGUCACAUGGCCGCCUUGCUGCUCCCGGUGGGAACUGGGUUCUGUGUUCACUCAAGGAGAUGGGGGGUCUCCGGCAAUGAUCCUGCUGCAGAGUUCCCCUGUGGGACUCUAGCCAGGAACCGGAGGAGAAGCAGGGUUAGGGGCUCAGCCAUGGUGCCAGGGGCUUCACUGAGCAGUGCCCCAGACCACUGUCCUCCUGGGAGGCGGGGCGAUGCAAUGUGAAGUCUGUUACCAGAAAUGGGUUGAGCUGCCAGGCAGCGCUGCCUGCAGGGCACAAUUAGAGGAGUUCCCAGACAGGGGCUGGAAGGCCUGCUCCCCUUCAUGACCUGAAUGGGUCAUUUGUGGCUCAAAUGACAAUAAUUAGGACCAUUUAGCAAAGAGGAGGUGAAAGGUCACGCCGUGGGGCCGCCCUUCUCUUGUUACCUCCAGUGAGGGGUGACUGCCUCCGAGACUCACAGACCCAGGCCGCCCGGGCUGUGACAGACCAAGAGGCUGGCUACCUCCAUCAGCGGCUGAUGGUGUCCCCAGGGCCGUCAGAGCAGGCAUGGGCUCCAGGCCGUGAUGUCACAAGCAGGAUCCAAGUCCCAGUCACCCCACAGGACUGUUGCUCAGCGAGAGGACAGAAUGUGCAGCUAUUUGACUGGGCACAAGGGCUGGCCCCACGUCCAGCCUACCGGGCCUCAGCUUGACUCUUCCUGUUUUCCUUGAAAACUUGAUGUUGCUCCUUCGCAGGGCCAUUCCUAGUAUGAAGUGCCCAGGGCUCUGGAGUGUGAGAGUGGAGAAAGGCCGGUGCAGCGCCAGGAGCAUGCUGGGGACAUGGCUGGUACUCAUGACCUGGCAGCAGACGGAUGCUGUACAGUGAUGCCCGGAGCAUUAGACAUGUGCGGCUGGGAGCCCACGACCCACCGUCCCCUCUGUCUCGGCCCCUCCUAAGGAGGAGGCUAAGUUCUCAGGGCCACGCCUCCUGCCCCUUGCUUCCCAGUAAUUAGGAUGUCAGAGAAGGUUUGCUGGAGACCAAUGGGAGAAUCUUUAAUUAAAUACCCUGGGGGAGGGGGAGGCCUCUGCUAAGGCCUGGGUAUCUGAACAGCUGUGAAACUCGAGUGUCGAAAACCCAGAUACCCAGAUCACAAGAGAUGGUAUACGGAGGUGGGGCUGGGAAUAGAGGAGUUUCAGGGGCGAGCCCAGAGUAGAGUCCAUAGGUCUGUCUGUAAGAGUAGGGUGAAGGAAGGCCUUGAGUGGGCCUGCUGCUAGCUCAUAGUCCAAGGCCCCCAGGCUAUUCUCUGACACUACGCAAGGCCCAACCGGUACACAGGAAGUGCCACCUGCUCAUGUCCUUCCAAGAGCAAAGUGACUUUGUCUUUAACAGCCAUUCAGUCUUCUGUGAUAGGUUAUAGCCACAGGAAAUGGAUAGAAUCUCAGGUCACUGAGCCAGGUCCUUGGGGACAUAGCCUCUUUCCCUGCUAGCUGUUGGUCAGUGGGUCUUCCCUCUUGGAUGUGAAAUCACCCCAGUCAAGCUGGCACAGAGAGGUGUGCUGUCCUGCGGUGGCUGCUCUGAGACCUGUACACGAGACCACAGGCAUCAUCAUCAUCAUCAUCAUCAUCAUCAUCAUCAUCAUCAUCCCCCUGACGUUUCCUGAGAAAGCUGGAAAUGGUGUUGUAUGCCCCAGCGCGCAGGAGGCCAAGGCAGAAGGCUGUGUGUGAGUCCAAGGCCAGCCUCAAAAUACAUAGUGAGUUCCCUGACUCAAAAGAACACGUGUCAGGGGAGAAAGCUACACACUGACAAACACUGUGUUCAGACUCACUGUGCCUAAGACUCGGAAGCUCAAUGCAUCCCUCCCACGCUGUCUUGCCAGUUUACUGGUUCAAGUCCCAUGCAGACUCCCUCACUUGGCUUCAUACGCCUGUUGGUCUCACCAGGAGACUGGAGAUCUAAAUGGGCAUCACCAGGCAUGUCCCCUCUCUUUCCAGGCCUCAGUUUCCCUAUCUGUGUAGUCUCGGGCUACACAACCCUGACAUCGUGGGAUUGAUGGUAGAUUUCAAUGAGCCUCUUGAUUUUACCUUAAUGGCUCUGUACUGGCUGGUUUGGUGUGUCAACUUGACACAGGCUGAAGUUAUCACAGAAAGGAGCCUCCCUUGAGCAAAUGUCUCCAUGAGACCCAGCUGUAAGGCAUUUUCUCAACUAGUGAUCAAGGGAGGAGGACCCAUUGUGAGUGGUGCUGUCCCUGGGCUGAAUUCCUGGGUUCUAUAAGAGAGCAAGCUGAGCAAGCCAGAGGAAGCAAGCCAGUAAGUAACAUCCCUCCAUGGCCUCUGCAUCAGCUCCUGCUUCCUGACCUGCAUGAGUUCCUGUCCUGACUCUCUUUGGUGAUGAACAGCAAUGUGGAAGUGUAAGCUGAAUAAACCCUUUCCUCCCCAACUUGCUUCUUGGUCACGAUGUUUGUGCAGGAAUAGAAACCCUGACUAAGACAGGCUCUGAAGCCUUCCGGGGACAGAGGUGACAGCAGCUGGUGGUGAGCAGGGGACCGCACUCCCAGGUGCUCGGGACACGUGGUCCAGAAUGGAGGAAAUGUCCCAAUUUGUAUCCUGUUUGGCCUCACAACAGCCAGGAGAUGAGAGACAGAGUCACCAGAUCCCACAGUGGAGAUUGUGCUGCGAUUUUGGCUUCGGAGCCUAAUUAAGUCAGUUCCGCCACUAUUGGGUUUGAAAGUAAAACACAACUUGAUAAUGAAGAAGGAAACCGCAGAUGCAAAGGUGUUGCCAUGGG